GCCGGGUGCGGUGGCGCGCGCCUGUAAUCCAAGCUACCGGGAGGCUGAGGCUGGCGGAUCGUUUGAGCUCAGGAUCUCUGAGCUUCAGCGGACUAUGCCGAUCGGGUGUCCGCACUAAGUUCAGCAUCGAUAUGGUGCUCCUCGGGGAGGUCGGGACCACCAGGUCGCCUAAGGAGGGGUGCACCGGCCCAGGUCGGAAACGGAGCAGGUCAAAGCCCCCGUGCCGCUCAGUAGUGGGAUCGCGCCUGUGAAUAGACGCUGUAGUGCAGCCUGAGUAAUACAGCGGGACCCAGUCUUUU
Unclassified non-coding RNA from Oreochromis aureus, 299 nucleotides. It matches the Rfam family "Metazoan signal recognition particle RNA". From Rfam's summary of the family: The signal recognition particle (SRP) is a universally conserved ribonucleoprotein. It is involved in the co-translational targeting of proteins to membranes. Lineage: Eukaryota; Metazoa; Chordata; Actinopteri; Cichliformes; Cichlidae. The record is from Ensembl.